GGCACGCCUAACACAUGCAAGUCGAACGAAGUAGCAAUACUUAGUGGCAGACGGGUGAGUAACAUGUAGGUAUCUGCCCUUUGGCCUGGAAUAACACGAGGAAACUUGUGCUAAUACCGGAUAAGUCUUUACGGAGAAAGCUUUAUGCACCAUUGGAUGAGCCUGCACUUGAUUAGUUUAUUGGUGGGGUAAUGGCCUACCAAGACUGUGAUCAAUAGCUGAUUUGAGAGGAUGAUCAGCCACAUUGGGACUGAGACACGGCCCAAACUCCUACGGGAGGCAGCAGUGGGGAAUCUUGCACAAUGGAGGAAACUCUGAUGCAGCGAUGCCGCGUGAGUGAAGAAGGCCCUUGGGUUGUAAAGCUCUUUCGUCGGGGAAGAAAAUGACUGUACCCGAAUAAGAAGGUCCGGCUAACUUCGUGCCAGCAGCCGCGGUAAUACGAAGGGACCUAGCGUAGUUCGGAAUUACUGGGCUUAAAGAGUUCGUACGUGGUUGAAAAAGUUGGUGGUGAAAUCCCACAGCUUAACUCUGGAACUGCCAUCAAAACUUUUCA
This 553-nucleotide ribosomal RNA is filed under the name uncultured bacterium. RNAcentral's name for it is "bacterial SSU rRNA". It matches the Rfam family "Bacterial small subunit ribosomal RNA", at positions 41 to 639 of the family's 1533-position model. The record is from RNAcentral.